UUUUAACAAACAUGUCCUUUUGAUUUUAUUAAUAUAAGGUCUGGCCUGCCCAAUGAUUUAUAUUUAAUGGCCGCAGUAUUCUGACUGUGCGAAGGUAGCAUAAUCAUUUGUUCUUUAAUUGGGAGCUUGUAUGAAUGGUCUGAUGAGGGAUAUACUUUCUUUACUUUAAGUUUAUAUGAAUUUAACAUAUAGGUCAAAAGGCUUAUAUUUAUAUAAGGGACGAGAAGACCCUAUAGAACUUUACUACUAUUAUACAUUAUAUAGUUUUGAUUAUUAAUAAUAUUAUUUAUAAUAUUAGUUUUGUUGGGGUGACAGUUAAAUUUAAAGUACUUUAACUUACUGUAUUUCAUUAAUUAAUGAUUGAGUGAUCCAUUAAUAUUGAUUAUAAGAUUAAGUUACCUUAGGGAUAACAGCGUAAUUCUGUUGGAGAGUUCAUAUUAAUAAUAGAGUUUGCGACCUCGAUGUUGGAUUAAAAUAAGUGUUAGGUGUAGAAGCUUAAUAACUUGGUCUGUUCGACCUUUAAUAUUUUACAUGAUUGGUUUUCC
RNAcentral lists this ribosomal RNA (545 nucleotides) under Nabis sinicus. RNAcentral describes it as "partial large subunit ribosomal RNA". It matches the Rfam family "Bacterial large subunit ribosomal RNA", at positions 1804 to 2613 of the family's 2925-position model. The record is from RNAcentral. Lineage: Eukaryota; Metazoa; Arthropoda; Insecta; Hemiptera; Nabidae.